UCAAGAAACUUCCACAAUGGGCGAAAGCCUGAUGGAGCGACGUCGCGUGAUGGACGAAGUGCUUCGGCACGUAAACAUCUUUUAUGUGGGAUGAAAUUAUUGACAGUACCACAUGAAUAAGGGGCUCCUAACUCUGUGCCAGCAGGAGCGGUAAUACAGAGGCCCCAAGCGUUAUCCGGAAUCACUGGGCGUAAAGGGUGUCGAGGCGGUUGUAUUAGUCGUUCGUAAAAUCUACGAGCUUAACUUGUAGGCGGCGAACGAAACGGUACGACUUGAGGUUUGGAGAGGUGCGUGGAACUCACGGUGUAGGGGUGAAAUCCGUUGAUAUCGUGGGGAACACCAAAGGCGAAGGCAGCGCACUGGCCAAAAUCUGACGCUCACACACGAAAGCUAGGGUAGCGAAGAGGAUUAGAUACCCCAGUAUUCCCUGAGCGGGCUGGCAAGGCGCAU
This 450-nucleotide ribosomal RNA is filed under the name uncultured bacterium. Its description in RNAcentral is "bacterial SSU rRNA". It matches the Rfam family "Bacterial small subunit ribosomal RNA", at positions 355 to 825 of the family's 1533-position model. The record is from RNAcentral.